This 64-nucleotide transfer RNA is filed under the name Rabdotus mooreanus. Its description in RNAcentral is "tRNA-Cys". Lineage: Eukaryota; Metazoa; Mollusca; Gastropoda; Stylommatophora; Orthalicidae. The record is from RNAcentral.
CAAAGUAUAAUAUAUAUUUAUUAUCAAAAGUUGCAAGCUUUUUUAAGGAAGAUUCCUACUUUGU